AGUGAACGCUGGCGGUAGGCCUAACACAUGCAAGUCGAACGGCAGCACAGGAGAGCUUGCUCUCUGGGUGGCGAGUGGCGGACGGGUGAGGAAUACAUCGGAAUCUACCUUUUUCGUGGGGGAUAACGUAGGGAAACUUACGCUAAUACCGCAUACGACCUACGGGUGAAAGUGGGGACGGCAAGGCCUCACGCGAUUAGAUGAGCCGAUGUCCGAUUAGCUAGUUGGCGGGGUAAUGGCCCACCAGGCGACGAUCGGUAGCUGGUCUGAGAGGAUGAUCAGCCACACUGGAACUGAGACACGGUCCAGACUCCUACGGGAGGCAGCAGUGGGGAAUAUUGGACAUGGGCGCAAGCCUGAUCCAGCCAUACCGCGUGGGUGAAGAAGGCCUCGGUUGUAA
Molecule: ribosomal RNA, 400 nt
Filed under: uncultured bacterium
Lineage: Bacteria
Description: bacterial SSU rRNA
Rfam family: Bacterial small subunit ribosomal RNA
Source: RNAcentral